RNAcentral lists this ribosomal RNA (433 nucleotides) under uncultured bacterium. Its description in RNAcentral is "partial 16S ribosomal RNA". It matches the Rfam family "Bacterial small subunit ribosomal RNA", at positions 29 to 507 of the family's 1533-position model. The record is from RNAcentral.
AGCGAACGCUGGCGGCAGGCCUAACACAUGCAAGUCGAACGGAUCCUUCGGGAUUAGUGGCGGACGGGUGAGUAACACGUGGGAACGUGCCCUUUGGUUCGGAACAACUCAGGGAAACUUGAGCUAAUACCGGAUGUGCCCUUCGGGGGAAAGAUUUAUCGCCAUUGGAGCGGCCCGCGUCUGAUUAGCUAGUUGGUGAGGUAACGGCCCACCAAGGCGACGAUCAGUAGCUGGUCUGAGAGGAUGAUCAGCCACACUGGGACUGAGACACGGCCCAGACUCCUACGGGAUGCAGCAGUGGGGAAUCUUGCGCAAUGGGCGAAAGCCUGACGCAGCCAUGCCGCGUGAAUGAUGAAGGUCUUAGGAUUGUAAAAUUCUUUCAGCGGGGACGAUAAUGACGGUACCCGCAGAAGAAGCACCGGCUAACUUCGUG